RNAcentral lists this transfer RNA (72 nucleotides) under Bos taurus (domestic cattle). It matches the Rfam family "tRNA". Rfam says of the family: Transfer RNA (tRNA) molecules are approximately 80 nucleotides in length. Their secondary structure includes four short double-helical elements and three loops (D, anti-codon, and T loops). Further hydrogen bonds mediate the characteristic L-shaped molecular structure. tRNAs have two regions of fundamental functional importance: the anti-codon, which is responsible for specific mRNA codon recognition, and the 3' end, to which the tRNAs corresponding amino acid is attached (by aminoacyl-tRNA synthetases). tRNAs cope with the degeneracy of the genetic code in two manners: having more than one tRNA (with a specific anti-codon) for a particular amino acid; and 'wobble' base-pairing, i.e. permitting non-standard base-pairing at the 3rd anti-codon position. The record is from Rfam by way of RNAcentral. RNAcentral also lists the same sequence under 4 other names. Lineage: Eukaryota; Metazoa; Chordata; Mammalia; Artiodactyla; Bovidae.
UCCCUGGUGGCUCAGAGGUUAAAGCGUCUGCCUCCAGUGCGGAAGACCCGGGUUCGAUCCCUGGGUUGGGAA